Long non-coding RNA from Micropterus dolomieu (smallmouth bass), 568 nucleotides. RefSeq lists it as uncharacterized. The record is from RefSeq and is a predicted model, not a curated record. Lineage: Eukaryota; Metazoa; Chordata; Actinopteri; Centrarchiformes; Centrarchidae. The transcript is spliced from 4 exons.
CCUGUUAUGAUGUUAUGAUUGUGGCUAUGGACUUUAAUUUGUUUUAACAAGCUAGAUAAAAGAGCUGAGUGGUUGUGGGUCCUCUCAGCAGUGUCCUGUGGACUGGAGGAAGAUCAACUCCAGAUUUUACUUCCUCUCCACUGAGAAUAAAACAUGGGAGGACAGCAGAAGAUACUGUCAGAGUAAAGAUGCUGACCUGGUGGUGAUCGCAGUGAACAGAAACCGAGGGCGUUGUACUGUCUGGAUGGGAAUGCUGAACUCUUGUUCUGGAUUGGUCUGUAUGACACAGCUGGGAGCUUCAAAUGGGUGGAUGGAUCUGUGCUGACCAAACAUUUUGGCAGUCGGACCAGCCGGAUCGUGGUGGUCCUAACAACAUGUAUCACCGCCACACAGUGCUGGGCAGCUGGAAUGAUGCCCCCUGUGGAGCCAAGCGGCUUUGGCUCUGUGAGAAAGAUCCAUUUAUCAUUUCAUAGUAUCAGCUCCAGAACAUUAUAUUAUGUACAUGUGCUUUUGCAAGAGGUUUACAUGUAAAACAGUUGUGAAUAAAAACAGAUUCUAUGAUAAUACA